Molecule: ribosomal RNA, 387 nt
Filed under: Triticum aestivum (bread wheat)
Lineage: Eukaryota; Viridiplantae; Streptophyta; Magnoliopsida; Poales; Poaceae
Description: partial small subunit ribosomal RNA
Source: RNAcentral
GGGAAUCCUAAAUGUUCUUUCUGUGGGCAACUUGAAACAUCCCAGCACCUAUUUUUUGCUUGUCCUGUUGCUAAAGUGACCUGGAGAACAAUUGCGUGCAUGCUGGGCACCGACCUAUGCCCAAUUAGUUUAUGGCAAGCUUAUUCAUGGUGCUAUGUCUACUUCCCAGAUGGGGAGAUUUUUUAUACAGUUGGCAUUGCUGCUCUUUGCUGGGCUAUCUGGACCUGCCGCAAUAGUGCUACGUUUGAGUUUAAACGCUUACAAACCCCUUUUGAAUGUUGUUUCUAUAUGUGUGCUCUCUUAUGUUACUGGGCAGGUUUGCUGAAGCAGGAUGAUGCGGUGGAUCUGCGAGCUGGAGUGGAAAUGCUGAAGAGCAGUGUGGGUUAG